AGGUGAGACUAGCAUCGAAAGGCACAUCAACAAGAAGGAGAGACGUCGGCUACAGGCCAAGGGCAGAGUAUUUACGAAUCCUUACAACUACGGCUGCUUGGACAACUGGAAGGUAUUCCUGGGUGUGGAUACAGGAAGGUAAUGUAAGACACAGACUAAUGCUGUCCAACAGAACACUGUGAUGAGAAAGAUGUUCUAUGCCUAUGAGCACUUGGAAUAUGGCUAGUGGCUACUGUGUUAGCACAGUUCUAGACUCUAGGAAUAGAGAUCAUUGUUCAUUUGAACCAGAAAGGCUUGAGGCCAAUACUGUGUGGUUUUAAGUAACAGAUGAGGCUUCAACAUGACUACAGUAGAGUCCUAGGAAAGCUGUGCUCAGGAAGGGGCCUCUGGGUGUAGGAUACGGUGGCCACCAGUCACCUCUCACUUGGAGAGCAGUGUCUAGAGUUCAAGCCAAUAAUUUGUGAGAUUAAAAUAAUCUACUUGUCAUAGAGGCCCUAAGACAGUAACUGGAGCUAGCUCU
Molecule: small RNA, 520 nt
Filed under: Pan troglodytes (chimpanzee)
Lineage: Eukaryota; Metazoa; Chordata; Mammalia; Primates; Hominidae
Description: processed transcript
Source: RNAcentral